Molecule: ribosomal RNA, 333 nt
Filed under: uncultured bacterium
Lineage: Bacteria
Description: bacterial SSU rRNA
Rfam family: Bacterial small subunit ribosomal RNA
Source: RNAcentral
UUGAACGCUGGCGGCAUGCUUUACACAUGCAAGUCGAACGGGCUGAGGGGGCAACUCCUCGGUCAGUGGCGGGCGGGUGAGUAAUGCAUCGGAACGUGUCCCGUAGUGAGGGAUAACCCGGCGAAAGCCGGACUAAUACCGCAUAUGCUCUACGGAGGAAAGCGGGGGACCUGAAAGGGCCUCGCGCCAUGGGAGCGGCCGAUGUCCGAUUAGCUUGUUGGUGGGGUAAUGGCCUACCAAGGCGACGAUCGGUAGCUGGUCUGAGGAGGAUGAUCAGCCACACUGGGACUGAGACACGGCCCAGACUCCUACGGGAGGCAGCAGGUGGGGUAA